Molecule: ribosomal RNA, 253 nt
Filed under: uncultured bacterium
Lineage: Bacteria
Description: partial 16S ribosomal RNA
Rfam family: Bacterial small subunit ribosomal RNA
Source: RNAcentral
UACAGAGGUCUCAAGCGUUGUUCGGAUUCAUUGGGCGUAAAGGGUGCGUAGGCGGCGCGGUAAGUCGGGUGUGAAAUCCCUCGGCUUAACCAAGGAAGUGCACCCGAAACUGGAUAGCUUGAGUACAGAAGAGGAUCGCGGAAUUCCCGGUGUAGAGGUGAAAUUCGUAGAUAUCGGGAGGAACACCAGUGGCGAAGGCGGCGAUCUGGGCUGAUACUGACGCUGAGGUGCGAAAGCGUGGGGAGCAAACAGG